This 513-nucleotide ribosomal RNA is filed under the name uncultured bacterium. RNAcentral's name for it is "bacterial SSU rRNA". It matches the Rfam family "Bacterial small subunit ribosomal RNA", at positions 28 to 529 of the family's 1533-position model. The record is from RNAcentral.
GAUGAACGCUAGCGAUAGGCCUAACACAUGCAAGUCGAGGGGCAGCACAUGAGGUAGCAAUACCGAUGGUGGCGACCGGCGCACGGGUGAGUAACACGUAUGCAACCUGCCUUCAACAAGGGCAUAACCCGUUGAAAGACGGACUAAUACCCUAUAAUACAGGGGCCCCGCAUGGGGAUAUUUGUUAAAGAUUUAUCGGUUGAAGAUGGGCAUGCGUUCCAUUAGCUGGUUGGUGGGGUAACGGCCCACCAAGGCAACGAUGGAUAGGGGAACUGAGAGGUUUAUCCCCCACACUGGUACUGAGACACGGACCAGACUCCUACGGGAGGCAGCAGUGAGGAAUAUUGGUCAAUGGACGCAAGUCUGAACCAGCCACGUCGCGUGAAGGAAGACGGCCCUAACGGGUUGUAAACUUCUUUUAUACGGGAAUAAAGUGCCCCACGUGUGGGGUUUUGCAAGUACCGUAUGAAUAAGGAUCGGCUAACUCCGUGCCAGCAGCCGCGGUAAAUCACU